AUACUGUUAGUCCAAAGUUA
This 20-nucleotide small nuclear RNA is filed under the name Arabidopsis thaliana (thale cress). Its description in RNAcentral is "snRNA_10986". Lineage: Eukaryota; Viridiplantae; Streptophyta; Magnoliopsida; Brassicales; Brassicaceae. The record is from RNAcentral.